Molecule: small RNA, 29 nt
Filed under: Bombyx mori (domestic silkworm)
Lineage: Eukaryota; Metazoa; Arthropoda; Insecta; Lepidoptera; Bombycidae
Description: ovarian small RNA-24907
Source: RNAcentral
UCAAUUACCGACAAAGUGAUACCUUUUGC